CCCGAAACCGGGUGACCUAUCCAUGUCCAGGUUGAAGUUACCGUAAAAGGUAAUGGAGGACCGAACGCACAUCUGUUGAAAAAGGUGGCGAUGAGGUGUGGAUAGCGGAGAAAUUCCAAUCGAACUCGGAGAUAGCUGGUUCUCCUCGAAAUAGCUUUAGGGCUAGCCUCGAGAGGAGUCUAACGGAGGUAAAGCACUGAACUGACGCGGGGCCCAAAAAGGUUACCAACUCAAAUCAAACUAAGAAUGCCGUCAAGAUACCCUCGGGAGUCAGACUACGGGAGAUAAGUUUCGUGGUCAAAAGGGAAAGAGCCCAGACCGACAGCUAAGGUCCCAAAGUGUGUGUUAAGUGGAAAAGGAUGUGGGAUUUCAUAGACAACUAGGAUGUUGGCUUAGAAGCAGCCAUACAUUUAAAGAGUGCGUAAUAGCUCACUAGUCGAGAGAACCUGCGCCGAAAAUAAUCGGGGCUAAAACACACCACCGAAGCUACGGAUUUCCUGCUUAAGGUAGGAAGUGGUAGAGGAGCAUACUGCAAGGACGAAGCCUGAUUGAGAGAGAAGGUGGACGAAGCAGUAGAGAGAAUGCCGGAAUGAGUAGCGAGAUAUAUGUGAGAACCAUAUAGGCCGAAUAUCUAAGGUUUCCUGAGUGAAGCUAAUCUGCUCAGGGUAAGUCGGGACCUAAGGCGAGGACGAGAGUCGUAGUCGAUGGACAACUGGUAGAGAUUCCAGUACUAUGUAUAAUCAGAACUGUGGGGACGCAGGAGGAUAGAUGGACCGCGGAAAGGGAAGACGCGGCCAAGUACAAAGUCAAGUUAGGUAGGCAAAUCCGCCAAAUGAUGAUGAAGUACGACGGGGACUGAAAGAAAGUAAGGAAGUCAUUGAAUCCACACUGCCGAGAAAAGCCGCUAUAGUGUUAUACAUACCCGUACCGUAAACCGACACAGGUAGAUGAGGAGAAAAUCCACAGGCCGACGGGAGAAGUGUUGUUAAGGAACUCGGCAAAAUGACCCCGUAACUUAGGGAGAAGGGGAGCCACGAGAGUGGUCACAGAAAAGAGGCUCAAGCAACUGUUUAGCAAAAACACAGGUCUCUGCGAAACCGAAAGGUGAAGUAUAGGGGCUGACACCUGCCCGGUGCUGGAAGGUUAAAAGGAGAGGUUAGCCGCAAGGCGAAGCUUUGAAUUCAAGCCCCAGUAAACGGCGGCCGUAACUAUAACGGUCCUAAGGUAGCGAAAUUCCUUGUCAGGUAAGUUCUGACCCGCACGAAAGGUGUAAUGAUUUGAGCACUGUCUCGACAACACGCCCGGUGAAAUUGAAGAACCAGUGAAGAUACUGGUUACCCGCAACAGGACGGAAAGACCCCAUGGAGCUUUACUGCAGCCUGAUACUGGGAUUCGAUGAUGUAUGUACAGGAUAGGAGGGAGACAGAGAAGGUAGGACGCCAGUCUUGCCGGAGUCGCCGGUGGGAUACCUCUCUUACAUCAUUGGAUUUCUAACCUGCAUCCGUGAACCGGAUGAGGGACAAUGUCAGGCGGGCAGUUUGACUGGGGCGGUCGCCUCCAAAAGAGUAACGGAGGCGCUCAAAGGU
This 1586-nucleotide ribosomal RNA is filed under the name gut metagenome. RNAcentral describes it as "bacterial LSU rRNA". It matches the Rfam family "Bacterial large subunit ribosomal RNA", at positions 714 to 2317 of the family's 2925-position model. The record is from RNAcentral.